RNAcentral lists this ribosomal RNA (301 nucleotides) under uncultured bacterium. RNAcentral describes it as "partial 16S ribosomal RNA". It matches the Rfam family "Bacterial small subunit ribosomal RNA", at positions 509 to 808 of the family's 1533-position model. The record is from RNAcentral.
CAGUCGCCGCGGGAAUACGUAGGUGGCAAGCGUUGUCCGGAAUAACUGGGCGUAAAGGGUGCGCAGGUGGUUUAACAAGUUAGUGGUGAAAGGCAUAGGCUCAACCAAUGUAAGCUAUUAAAACUGUUUAACUUGAGUGCAGGAGAGGAAAGUGGAAUUCCUAGUGUAGCGGUGAAAUGCGUAGAUAUUCGGAGGAACACCAGUGGCGAAGGCGGCUCACUGGCCCAUUACUGACGCUGAGGUGCGAAAGCGUGGGGAGCAAACAGGAUUAGAUACCCCUGUAGUCCCUGUCUCUUAUACA